UUCUGUCCACUGUUUGCAGGUUUAUAACCCUUCAAUCAUCUUUCUGCUUUAAAAAAUUGAAAACGAUGUCUGAAAAAGAAAUAAGUGGUCUUUCUUCUUUACAACUCGAGGAUACAACCACCAUUACUGAACCCGUACCACCAGUUGAGGAUACUACAACUGAACCAGGGCAACCAG
This is a long non-coding RNA of Homalodisca vitripennis (glassy-winged sharpshooter), 177 nucleotides long. RefSeq lists it as uncharacterized. Lineage: Eukaryota; Metazoa; Arthropoda; Insecta; Hemiptera; Cicadellidae. The transcript is spliced from 4 exons. The record is from RefSeq and is a predicted model, not a curated record.